Molecule: ribosomal RNA, 476 nt
Filed under: Flavobacterium sp. WB3.4-76
Lineage: Bacteria; Pseudomonadati; Bacteroidota; Flavobacteriia; Flavobacteriales; Flavobacteriaceae
Description: bacterial SSU rRNA
Rfam family: Bacterial small subunit ribosomal RNA
Source: RNAcentral
UUGAUCCUGGCUCAGGAUGAACGCUAGCGGCAGGCUUAACACAUGCAAGUCGAGGGGUAUAGGUCUUCGGACCUAGAGACCGGCGCACGGGUGCGUAACGCGUAUGCAAUCUACCUUUUGCAGAGGGAUAGCCCAGAGAAAUUUGGAUUAAUACCUCAUAGUAUAGCAGUUUCGCAUGAAACCACUAUUAAAGUCACAACGGCAAAAGAUGAGCAUGCGUCCCAUUAGCUAGUUGGUAAGGUAACGGCUUACCAAGGCUACGAUGGGUAGGGGUCCUGAGAGGGAGAUCCCCCACACUGGUACUGAGACACGGACCAGACUCCUACGGGAGGCAGCAGUGAGGAAUAUUGGACAAUGGGCGCAAGCCUGAUCCAGCCAUGCCGCGUGCAGGAUGACGGUCCUAUGGAUUGUAAACUGCUUUUGUACAGGAAGAAACACUCCCUCGUGAGGGAGCUUGACGGUAUCGUAAGAAUAAG